This 560-nucleotide ribosomal RNA is filed under the name Lambertella sp. FC-1985. RNAcentral describes it as "eukaryotic LSU rRNA". It matches the Rfam family "Eukaryotic large subunit ribosomal RNA", at positions 65 to 638 of the family's 3401-position model. The record is from RNAcentral. Lineage: Eukaryota; Fungi; Ascomycota; Leotiomycetes; Helotiales; Rutstroemiaceae.
CCAACAGGGAUUGCCUCAGUAACGGCGAGUGAAGCGGCAUAAGCUCAAAUUUGAAAUCUGGCUCUUUCGGGGUCCGAAUUGUAAUUUGUAGAAGAUGCUUCGAGUGUGGUUCCGGUCUAAGUUCCUUGGAACAGGACGUCAUAGAGGGUGAGAAUCCCGUAUGUGACUGGGAUACCUUCAUUCAUGUGAAGCUCUUUCGACGAGUCGAGUUGUUUGGGAAUGCAGCUCAAAAUGGGUGGUAAAUUUCAUCUAAAGCUAAAUAUUGGCCAGAGACCGAUAGCGCACAAGUAGAGUGAUCGAAAGAUGAAAAGCACUUUGGAAAGAGAGUUAAACAGUACGUGAAAUUGUUGAAAGGGAAGCGCUUGCAAUCAGACUUGCGCCUAGUUGAUCAUCCAGGCUUCUGUCUGGUGCACUCAAUUAGGCUCAGGCCAGCAUCGGUUUGGGUGGUUGGAUAAAGGCCUUGGGAAUGUAGCCCUCUUCGGGGGGUGUUAUAGCCCUCGGUGCAAUGCAGCCUACCUGGACCGAGGACCGCGCUUCGGCUAGGAUGCUGGCGUAAUGGU